ACGAUUCCCCCAUCCCGGGGUGCUCCUCCUCCAGCCGCGCUUUCCCUGGGAAAACCCAGCCUGAAAACCCCAAAUUCAAAUCCCAAACCUGUUUUUUUGGUUUUUUUAAUUUAUUUUUGGGUUUCCCCGGGUUUUCAGGGUGGGAAUUCCGCCUGGAAUCUGCUGGGAAUGGGGAGCCCAAGUGUGGGACCCACCCCGGCUCCAAGAGCUGCGAAAUUCGGGAUUUUUCCACCACUUUUGGGCUUCUUUCUGCUCUCUAAAAUCUGGGAGUUGUGACCCUUAAAAGCUGCGAGUUUUGGGAAUUUUGGGAGCUGUGAUCGUUGGGAAUUGCGAACUUUAGGAAUGGUGAAUUCAGGGAAUUGUCAAUUUUAGGAAUUGGGAAUUUUGGGAAUGGUGAACUUUAGGAACGUUGUAUUUGGGGAAUUGUCAAUUUUAGGAAUUGGGAAUUUUGGGAAUGGUGAACUUUAGGAGCUGCCACCAUUCCCAGCCAACCCUGGGAGCAGCCUUCCCUUUUCCCUGUCAUUUUCCUGGACUCUUCCUUGACAUUUUCUCACUUCCAAGUAAAAUAUUGGAAUUUUUCCCAUUUUUUUUCCCCUUCCAGUUUUUCCUCCCCAAACUCAGCAGCUUCUCCUGCCCCGCUGGGAAUUCCUCCUGCUCCCUCAGCUACGCCCCAGAAAUUCCUGAAAGAUUCCCGGGAGCCAAUGGGCAGUGGAGGAGCUCCAAGCCCCGGGGGAGCCGAGGCUCCUUCCUGGAGACCCGGAAAAAUUCCAGGUGGGUGCAGCAGAUCCUGGAUUUCCAGGUUUUAAUUGGUAUUUUUUGGGGUUUUUUUUAAUUUUUAGGAUUUUUUUUGAGAGUCUUGGGAUUUUAGGGUGGUUUAUUUUCUUUUUCCGGGGGAUUUUUUGGUGGCUUUAAUUUGGGAUUUUGGUUAUUUGGGAUUUGAGAUUUUUCGGUGGGGUUUGGGAUUCUUGGUGGGUUUUUUUUUUCAUUUUAUUUGGGAUUUUUGAGGGGUGG
RNAcentral lists this long non-coding RNA (1011 nucleotides) under Chloebia gouldiae (Gouldian finch). Its description in RNAcentral is "Erythrura gouldiae (Gouldian finch) lncRNA (ENSEGOG00005016010.1)". Lineage: Eukaryota; Metazoa; Chordata; Aves; Passeriformes; Passeridae. The record is from RNAcentral.